GAUGAACGCUGGCGGCGUGCCUAAUACAUGCAAGUCGAGCGAACGGACGAGAAGCUUGCUUCUCUGAUGUUAGCGGCGGACGGGAGAGUAACACGUGGAUAACCUACCUAUAAGACUGGGAUAACUUCGGGAAACCGGAGCUAAUACCGGAUGAUAUUUUGAACCGCAUGGUUCAAAAGUGAAAGACGGUCUUGCUGUCACUUAUAGAUGGAUCCGCGCUGCAUUAGCUAGUUGGUAAGGUAAUGGCUUACCAAGGCAACGAUGCAUAGCCGACCUGAGAGGGUGAUCGGCCACACUGGAACGGAGCCACGGUCCAGACUCCUACGGGAGGCAGCAGUAGGGAAUCUGCCGCAAUGGGCGAAAGCCUGACGGAGCAACGCCGCGUGAGUGAUGAAGGCCUUCGGAUCGUAAAACUCUGUUAUUAGGGAAGAACAGAUGUGUAAGUAACUGUGCACAUCGUGACGGUACCUAAUCAGAAAGCCACGGCUAACUACGUG
Molecule: ribosomal RNA, 497 nt
Filed under: uncultured bacterium
Lineage: Bacteria
Description: partial 16S ribosomal RNA
Rfam family: Bacterial small subunit ribosomal RNA
Source: RNAcentral